RNAcentral lists this ribosomal RNA (430 nucleotides) under Bacteroidota bacterium. RNAcentral describes it as "Bacteroidetes bacterium partial 16S ribosomal RNA". It matches the Rfam family "Bacterial small subunit ribosomal RNA", at positions 355 to 776 of the family's 1533-position model. Lineage: Bacteria; Pseudomonadati; Bacteroidota. The record is from RNAcentral.
UAGGGAAUCUUCGGCAAUGGGGGGAACCCUGACCGAGCAACGCCGCGUGAGUGAAGAAGGUUUUCGGAUCGUAAAGCUCUGUUGUUAAGGAAGAACGAGUGUGAGAAUGGAAAGUUCAUACUGUGACGGUACUUAACCAGAAAGGGACGGCUAACUACGUGCCAGCAGCCGCGGUAAUACGUAGGUCCCGAGCGUUGUCCGGAUUUAUUGGGCGUAAAGCGAGCGCAGGCGGUCAAUUAAGUCUGAUGUGAAAGCCUCCGGCUCAACCGGGGAGGGUCAUUGGAAACUGGUUGACUUGAGUGCAGAAGAGGAGAGUGGAAUUCCAUGUGUAGCGGUGAAAUGCGUAGAUAUAUGGAGGAACACCAGUGGCGAAGGCGACUCUCUGGUCUGUAACUGACGCUGAGGCUCGAAAGCGUGGGUAGCAAACAGG